This 807-nucleotide long non-coding RNA is filed under the name Linum usitatissimum (flax). RNAcentral describes it as "long non-coding RNA (LUSI_LNC004057)". Lineage: Eukaryota; Viridiplantae; Streptophyta; Magnoliopsida; Malpighiales; Linaceae. The record is from RNAcentral.
UGCCCUCCCUUACUUAUUUCCUCUAUGCCUUCGAGUCACAUCUCCCUUUUAUAAGCGUCAUAGACAAGCACCCAACUACCAUACUCUAUGCACCUUUGGGUGUGGAUGCUAUCCCUACAAUUCAUCGAAGCUACAGCAGUGAUCUUUUGUAAAAAUGCCCCACUUCAGUCUGGUCUGAGGAUAAGCAGGCAUGCAUAGUAUCGAAGACGCAUAGAGCUUUAGAAUCUCAGCUCUUUGACACAGAUAUGAGAUAGCUGCCAAGAGGAAGACAAGGAAUUUGACUUCGACGCUUAGCUUAGUCAGGCAAUAAGAAAAGCAUGAAGAGAGAUACGACCCCAUCUCUCUAAAAAGUAAGAGGAUUUCAUACCGACAAACCUUCAAUUUCUAACUCUAAAGCAUUCCUGAACAAUAGCCUCGAACCCAGAGAAUUAGAUUCGCUUAAGUUGUAAUAUCUGUGUAGGAAAUUAAGCUUUUUCAAGCCCAGUCGCCGAUUUGAUCCGCCCCAAAGCUUUCCCCGAGAAGCCUGCUAUUGAGCAUUCAUCCGUCCCUUCUUUGCGUUGUGCAAUGCCAUUCCUGGGAUCCGUAUCAUCUUGACUUGGUUCUUUUUUUUUCUAUUUUUUUUAGAAUGUGACUUCGAGAGGUUGUGACAUCCAGAGAAGAAUCCAGAUUGGGGCAUGUAUAUGAACAACUUACAUUGAUAAAUGCCCAAGGAAAGAAAAAGGCCAUCCGCUCUCUCACAGCCAAUCCUAAGAAAAGAGGUGUUGGAUCACCAAGCAUGACCUUCUCUCGCACGAAAUGGUAAUCAAU